UCUUUGUCCCUGUUCUCCUCCUUUUUCCCUCUGUUUUACAAAAUCUAGAAACUAACUACCAACAGAGGUCUGUCAAAAAAUUAAACAUUAGUAUAAUAUUUUCGUUUAUUUUUACACGCAAAUGAAAAGAAUUAUUAGAUGUAUUCGACUCCACGAAAGAAUUCUUAUUCUAUUGAUCUCAUCAAUCACGCGGAAACUCUUUUCUUUAUAUGUUUUAUAAUUCAACAGAACAUGGUUGCACCAACCGCGAGAACUACACCAAGGCACUAUCAAAAUUGAUGAUCCCGUGACUAAAUUGAGGUUUAAUUGUGAAGUUGCCUGAGAAAUUUUUUUAAUUUUAGAACACAACUAAGUUAUCAAUGUGCUUCAACUGUGAAAACUGUCUGGCUGCAAGAGUAUUAUUAUUGUUUCAGCGUCAUAAUGGAGCGUAGUGCAAAUAUAACCUUGAUACAGACAUUUGGAGGUAAAAUCAAUUUUGUAACUUGCUUUUAAGUGGUUCAUUUUUCGCCUCUGAUUAUGGACUUCUUCCAAGUACCACAUUCUCUUUUUGGGAUAGAGCAGGUUUUAGUUUUCAUCCAAUAUUACUUACAAAGGCUGAUGCAGAACAAACUUGAAGUUUCGCCUUGAUUGUGUGACCAAAAGGAAUAACAAAUUCUCAAUCAUAGGUAAAACACAAUUUUUCCUCCUUUUUUGGAAUAGUUUAUUUAUUAUGUCAUGAGUUUGUGGAAUAGUUUAUUUAUUAUGUCAUGAGUUUGUGGUCGGAUCUGAAUGUACUCGAUAGUGUUCUCGAAACUAUUUGUUCUUUAGCUAAGGUUUGGCAGUUAUUUGAUUUCCACACUGCAGUUUUAAUUUGGAUUAUGCUUUGUUAGUCAGUACGAUACAUUGUAAUGCGAUUUCCACAUGGAAUAUGUGUAAUGUGUUAUUUGAUUUUUAUUAACCCUCUGAAUUUACGUUAAAGAGGGCUAAACUAUUGAUGAUUGAAUUUUGUUUCUUCCUGUACUAUAUAUUUGUGCAAGGUUUCAUUUUCUUUCAAAAAGUGUAUGACAGAUUCAUUUAGCCAAUUUUAUUGGGAGAUUCAAAGUAUAUGACACAACCUUUGCACAGUUUCUAUUAUUCAUAUAUCUGAAUGUAGUCAAUGUCAACUUCUCCUGCUCAUAAAUUCUUGAGAAUUCACUGCUCUUGGUAUAGAAUGAAUAAGCAGGCCUUUUAGUUUGGUGUCUAAGGUGGGGUUCUGUGCAUCUGAUUAAGGUGCUUUUCCAGAUUCCAAACUAUAAUAUAUCAAAUUAUAAGAGCCUACUAGCUCAGCAGGUUUGGCUUUGAAACUAAAGUUCAUGUAACUUCUGUCUUUAUGCCUUUCGGUUUACAUAUCUAAAAUAACUGAAACCAUGAAUUAGCAUUCGUUGCAGAUAUAUCUGAAUGCAAAAAAGUUAUUUUCUGAUGACUCCAAUGGUUAAUCACACAAAUUGUAAAUUGUGUUGUACUAUUCUUUAUGCUCUCUCACUGCAUAAGUGAAUCUUGAACUCCCAAAUUUGACACUAUUUUGUCAAUUUUACAAUCUAGUAUGCUCUGUUGUUUGCUCCCUGUAAUAAUGACUGCAAAGUAGUAAUCUUUUCUGCAUAUAUUUCUCUUAUGAACUCUCCUAAGAUUUUUUUUUUUUUCCAGUACACCAUCUAAAGGGUCAACUAAGCCUCUAGAGUUACGGGCAUUUGACCGAAAAUAGGAUCAUCUUAUUCUUUUUUUUAUUAGAAACUAAGCCUCUAGAAUUACGGGCAUUUGACCGAAAACAGGAUCAUUUUAUUCUUUGUUUUUUU
Molecule: long non-coding RNA, 1811 nt
Organism: Lycium ferocissimum
Lineage: Eukaryota; Viridiplantae; Streptophyta; Magnoliopsida; Solanales; Solanaceae
Exons: 2
Source: RefSeq, a predicted model, not a curated record